GAUGAACGCUGGCGGCGUGCCUAAUACAUGCAAGUCGAGCGAACAGAUGAGGAGCUUGCUUCUCUGACGUUAGCGGCGGACGGGUGAGUAACACGUGGAUAACCUACCUAUAAGACUGGGAUAACUUCGGGAAACCGGAGCUAAUACCGGAUAAUAUAUUGAACCGCAUGGUUCAAUAGUGAAAGACGGUUUUGCUGUCACUUAUAGAUGGAUCCGCGCCGCAUUAGCUAGUUGGUAAGGUAACGGCUUACCAAGGCGACGAUGCGUAGCCGACCUGAGAGGGUGAUCGGCCACACUGGAACUGAGACACGGUCCAGACUCCUACGGGAGGCAGCAGUAGGGAAUCUUCCGCAAUGGGCGAAAGCCUGACGGAGCAACGCCGCGUGAGUGAUGAAGGUCUUCGGAUCGUAAAACUCUGUUAUUAGGGAAGAACAAAUGUGUAAGUAACUAUGCACGUCUUGACGGUACCUAAUCAGAAAGCCACGGCUAACUACGUG
RNAcentral lists this ribosomal RNA (497 nucleotides) under uncultured bacterium. RNAcentral describes it as "partial 16S ribosomal RNA". It matches the Rfam family "Bacterial small subunit ribosomal RNA", at positions 28 to 507 of the family's 1533-position model. The record is from RNAcentral.